This 462-nucleotide ribosomal RNA is filed under the name uncultured bacterium. Its description in RNAcentral is "partial 16S ribosomal RNA". It matches the Rfam family "Bacterial small subunit ribosomal RNA", at positions 28 to 507 of the family's 1533-position model. The record is from RNAcentral.
GACGAACGCUGGCGGCGUGCUUAACACAUGCAAGUCGAGCGGUAAGGCCUUUCGUGGUACACGAGCGGCGAACGGGUGAGUAACACGUGGGUGAUCUGCCCUGAACUUCGGGCUAAGCGUGGGCAACUGGGUCUAAUACCGGAUAUGACCUACUAUCGCAUGGUGGGUGGGGGAAAGAUUUAUCGGUGCAGGAUGGGCCCGCGGCCUAUCAGCUUGUCGGCGGGGUAUUGGCCUACCAAGGCGACGACGGGUAGCCGACCUGAGAGGGUGACCGGCCACGCUGGGACUGAAACACGGCCCAGACUCCUACGGUAGGCAGCAGUGGGGAAGAGUGCACUAUGGGCGAAAGCCUAAUGCAGCGACGCCGCGUGAGGGAUGACGGCCUUCGGGUUGUAUUCCUCAUUCAGCAGGGACGAAGCGCAAGUGACGGUACCUGCAGAAGAAGCACCGGCUAACUACGUG